CGGACGGGUGAGUAAUGUCCGGGAAACUGCCUGAUGGAGGGGGGUAACUACUGGAAACGGUAGCUAAUACCGCAUAACGUCGCAAGACCAAAGAGGGGGACCUUCGGGCCUCUUGCCAUCGGAUGUGCCCAGAUGGGAUUAGCUAGUAGGUGGGGUAACGGCUCACCUAGGCGACGAUCCCUAGCUGGUCUGAGAGGAUGACCAGCCACACUGGAACUGAGACACGGUCCAG
RNAcentral lists this ribosomal RNA (232 nucleotides) under uncultured bacterium. Its description in RNAcentral is "partial 16S ribosomal RNA". It matches the Rfam family "Bacterial small subunit ribosomal RNA", at positions 99 to 334 of the family's 1533-position model. The record is from RNAcentral.